AUACGAAGGAUGCGAGCGUUAUCCGGAUUUAUUGGGUUUAAAGGGAGCGUAGGCGGGAGCUUAAGUCAGCGGUUAAAUGGUGCGGCUCAACCGUGCCCUGCCGUUGAAACUGGGUUUCUUGAGAGUGCAAGAGGCGGAUGGAAUUCAUGGUGUAGCGGGGAAAUGCUUAGAUAUCAUGAAGAACUCCGAUUGCGAAGGCAGUCCGCUGGGGCACGUCUGACGCUGAUGCUCGAAGGUGCGGGAAUCAAACAGGAUUAGAUACCCUGGUAGUCCGCACGGUAAACGAUGAUUACCCGCUGUCGGCGGUAGACAGUCGGAGGCCAAGCGAAAGCGAUAAGUAAUCCACCUGGGGAGUACGCCGGCAACGGUGAAACUCAAAUGAAUUGACGGGG
Molecule: ribosomal RNA, 392 nt
Filed under: uncultured bacterium
Lineage: Bacteria
Description: partial 16S ribosomal RNA
Rfam family: Bacterial small subunit ribosomal RNA
Source: RNAcentral